UACGUAGGGGGCUAGCGUUGUCCGGAUUUAUUGGGCGUAAAGAGCGUGUAGGCGGCCAGGUAGGUCCGCUGUGAAAGUCCGAGGCUCAACCUCGGAAUGUCGGCGGAAACCCUCUGGCUAGAGUCCGGAAGAGGAGAGUGGAAUUCCCGGUGUAGCGGUGAAAUGCGCAGAUAUCGGGAGGAACACCAAUGGCGAAGGCAGCUCGCUGGGACGUUACUGACGCUGAGACGCGAAAGCGUGGGGAGCAAACAGG
This 253-nucleotide ribosomal RNA is filed under the name uncultured bacterium. Its description in RNAcentral is "partial 16S ribosomal RNA". It matches the Rfam family "Bacterial small subunit ribosomal RNA", at positions 524 to 776 of the family's 1533-position model. The record is from RNAcentral.